Molecule: ribosomal RNA, 253 nt
Filed under: uncultured bacterium
Lineage: Bacteria
Description: partial 16S ribosomal RNA
Rfam family: Bacterial small subunit ribosomal RNA
Source: RNAcentral
GACGAACCGUGCGACCGUUAAUCGGAAUUACUGGGCGUAAAGCGCACGCAGGUGGCUGAGUCAGUCGAUUGUGAAAGCCCUGGGCUUAACCUGGGAAUUGCAGUCGAUACUACUCAGCUAGAGUAUGGGAGAGGGCAGUGGAAUUCCCGGUGUAGCGGUGAAAUGCGUAGAUAUUGACAGGAACACCAGUGGCGCAAGCGGCUAUCUGGACCGACAUCGACGCUGAGGCACGAAAGCGUGGGGAUCAAACAGG